GAAUUUUGGACAAUGGGCGCAAGCCUGAUCCAGCCAUGCCGCGUGAGUGAAGAAGGCCUUCGGGUUGUAAAGCUCUUUCGGUGAAGACGAAACGGUUAGCGCUAAUAACGCUGACUAAUGACGGUACUCACAGAAGAAGCAACGGAUAACACAGUGCCAGCAACCGCGGUAAUACGUAGGGUGCAGGCGUUAAUCGGAAUUACUGGGCGUAAAGCGUGCGCAGGCGGUUUGCUAAGACAGGUGUGAAAUCCCCGAGCUUAACUUGGGAAUUGCGCUUGUAACUGGCAAGCUAGAGUGUAGCAGAGGGGGGUGGAAUUCCACGUGUAGCAGUGAAAUGCGUAGAUAUGUGGAGGAACACCGAUGGCGAAGGCAGCCCCCUGGGUUAACACUGACGCUCAUGCACGAAAGCGUGGGGAGCAAACAGG
This 425-nucleotide ribosomal RNA is filed under the name uncultured bacterium. RNAcentral describes it as "bacterial SSU rRNA". It matches the Rfam family "Bacterial small subunit ribosomal RNA", at positions 359 to 776 of the family's 1533-position model. The record is from RNAcentral.